UUCCACUUUUCUCCAAGGAAAUAUUUUUUCCUGAACCAGGUGAGGGAGGGACCACUUGAAUUUGUUUUCUGGAGGGUCCCCAUUUGGAGGUUUUCUCCCGAAGUUGCCCUAAAGAAGGACAGCGAGAAAUAUCAGAUCCUUAUUUAAUGGGGAUUUCUGAAUUUGUGAAAUACAUACUGGAAAUGCUUCUGUGGUCAGUGAGGGUUCUUCCAACUCUAUUUUGUGUCAUAGAGGAGGAAGAGGAAGGAAGUUUUUUACCAGACAUGUAGGAUUAUUUCUCAGCAAAAGGGAUUCCCCACUCUGACAUUGCCAGCAGAGAUUCUCCGCAGAGGAUGUCAGCUUGGGGCUCCAGCACAUGUGUGCUCCUGCUCCCUGCUGAUGGCAGAGGAAGACACUCUGCCCCAUUUAUUACACCCUGUAGUACCUGCUGCUCUUGUUCUAUUAAUUUUCACUGCUGCAGCACUUUCAGGCUCCAGGCAUGGACAGGAACCUAAGUGUGCCACAUUUGCUCUGAAAGCAGAGUAAAAAUUCUCUGAGGUAGUUGUGACUAGGGAUGAUAUCUCUUGCUAGCAGACAGAAGGGAGCUGGAGAUUUUGAAACAGAAGUAUGAGGAGGGAUAGCUGACACCUGCACACUAUCUUCCAUUUCCUGCUUUAACACCUGGGAUCAAAGUGCCCCCAAACGCUUUUAGGAUGCCUUGAGUGUGAAGUGUUUCUGAUAGCUUGGAUUCAAGGAUGCUUGGCCAUGCUCUGAGGAGGGGCUGGUCUGGAGCCAGUUCUGUGCAAUAAAUGAAAAAGUUGGGUAAAUAAAUAACUGAGAAUUUGUGACAGAGGCUUACAAACCCAAGAUUGGCCUAGAGAGAGUGGAUGAGGACUGACUAUUCACCAUGUACUGACUUUUGUCAGAGCUAGCUGAGAAGAUAAAGAAUAGGAAGCAUGUACUUGAGAUCCUCAAAUAAAAAGAGGUCAAAUCAUUGGUUCUCAGGCAUAAAGCUUCUGUAAUCUGCUCAGAUGGGCUUUGAGCAAGUAGAAUGGGGCUGUUUGUCCUGUUCAUCAGACUUUGUGACUAGAUCAUUCUGGACCUGCUCUGGAUUUACAGAACGGCACCAGUGUUUGGCAGCCACCCUGUGAAGGGUGUUCGUUCCUGCCAGUGACAGCUGGAGGCUGAGAGGAUGUGUCAGGAGUUCUUAUUCUUCUCUGCUUUCUCUGCUCUGUCCUCAAGUAACCAAGGCUACAGUAAACAAUGGGGUACUGGGAGGGACAGACCUCCACUCUGAACCCUACAGAACUCUCCUAUCAAUUUUGUAAGAAUUAAAAGAAAGAAUUUUUUGUAAGAAUUAAAAAAAGGAAAUUUUUGCAAAUGAGGGGUGUGGCAGCCCAGGUUGGACCUUCCAUAGGCCAUAUUUAUUCAGUAGAGUGAGGGGAAUUCACCAACAGGAUGCUAGUGCUGCCCUUAUUUAGAGGACAAAUCGUUACCUGUGUUUUCUGAGGGUGUGCUACUGUACUUUUGGGCAAUGCUAUGGGAAUUGAGAAAAUAUAUCAAUAUUCCACACAUAGACUCAAUCCAAUUCUUAUUAAUGAGAUUGAUAACUGGGGGAAAGAAAAAAGGAAAAUAAAAUUCUCUCUGUUUCAGGAAGUACAGAUGAUUUUGGUUGAAUAAAUUUUCAUUCAGAUAGUCCAUUUUAAAUGAGUAUUGCUCGGCUUACGGUCCCUUCUUCCUCCUCUUCCUUUCAUUAGCUCCUCUUCUUUACCUGCCAGACCCUUGCAGUCCUUUCUCCUGUUUUCCAUCCCCUCUACAGAUAUUGCCCUGCCUGAGCACUGACCACACACAGCCUUCAUGGGUGGAGAACAUCAGUGAAUUGCUGCAAAACACCAGGUGAGCAUUGGCCCAGCAAAUUAUUUCAAAAUUCCCCCUCUGGAAGAGUAUCUCUGGAAAAGCUGCCAGACUGGAAGAGAAACGCUUCAUCUAACUGAGUGUAAUCAACAUUAAGACUCUGGUGGAGAUCCCUGUCCUGCAUCAUGGAGAACCAAGGAUGACAUAGCUGUAAGCAUGGAUUGGCUUAUGGAUGGAGCUCUCAGUGGUGCUGUGGAAAUGGCUCAGCUGAUGUUCUGAGCUGAACUGAUUGAGCUGAGCUGAUCUGUGUUUUUGCAUGUUACAUCAGGAUCUGAGGGCCUAGCCUACACUGAGGGGUGAGAUCAUGGGAGCAGAAAAUAUGGAUGGAACUAAAUAAGAGGAGGAAAUGUUCUGAUUUUCAGCACAUCUAAAUAAUAUCUUCUGUAUGCUGGAGGAAAUUCAGGGCACCUAGGCAGACUCUUAGCCAUUUGGCUUCUUUGACCCUUCAAGUUCUUUGCUGACUUUUUAAACAAGGUUAAAACUGAGGACAAAGAUAUAGUACUGGAACAGCUGCUGGGAUUGGAAUAAAUUUUUAUUCUUGUACUGGCUUGGGGAAGAAUUCUUUUUCAGCUUCAUCCUUCUGAGUUUAGUAAGGAGUGAGACAUGCAGUAGCUAACUGGAACAAGAUUCAUCUAUUCCUUCUGGGUCUGUCAGCUCACACUUGGAGUAACUACUGUGACCUGGAGCACUGGGUUAAGGGCAAUUCCACAAGGUAUGAUUUUAAGCAAGCAGGAUUCAAACUCGUACACAAGUCACAAGUCACUGCAUUUUGACUGAGUGUCCGCAAUAGAUGUUGCCAUCUCCUGAAGUUCAUUGUGGUUUUAAAUGUUCUGGUAGCAAUGGCUUUUCCCUGCAUCUUGAGGCAAUGAAUUUUUCUCAUGUAUUUACUGGGGGUUAAGACUGACCUAGAGGUAGACACCGUAGGUCUAUUAACCUGGGGUAAGUUGCUAAAACACAGUAAUUAUUCAUGCACCUAAACCUUGAGAUGUUUAUUUUCUCUUGGCUCUGAGAAGGAGCCCUUACUGUAACUGCAGAUUCCACUUACACCCAACAUCAGCUCUGGUCCAAGUAGAGGCAGUGGUAAAAUAUGAACAAGAUUUGUGCUCAGUGGUACCCAGAUAGACAUGUCCUCAGAGAGCACCACACUGUUUGCCAACAGGUACACAAUGGCUGCAAAUCUCUUUUUAGAGGUGUAACUCUUACCCUCAAAGGACAGCCCAAAGGACGGGUUUAAGUGUUUCGGGGCUUUAUUUUAUCUUCCUGCUGCUCGGAUUAGUAUGCAAAACUCCAGAUUAGCCCUAAAUAUCUAAAAAUUAUUAUCUAAGAAUGGUGGCAGAACCCAGAUUUGUUCUCAGUGUGACUGUGGGGGCAUGAAAAAGUGAGAGCAAGCAGAAGGGCUGACCUAAUUUCCAACUCUGCUGUCAAAAUAGCUUCCACCUACUGGAAUUGCCCAAGAAGAGUGUAGAGAUGCUUGAAAUACAGCUUUGGAGGCUUUUUGUCCUCCCCAAAGGGGAUUGAUUCUGUCCUUGGGCAUGGCUAGGCUGUACCCUUUCCUGAUUCCGAGGUAAAAAUAUAGAUGCUCUCUCCCAUGGGCUUGCAUUAAUUUUUGGCAACACCAGGCCCUGCCCACAGCACAGCACAUUUUUCUGCUUGAUGUGAGGAACAUGGUGCUUACCAGGGCUGCUUUGCCAUGGUGGGUGUUGACAGAUAAAUGGUGGUGAAUCUGAUGCCUGGCUAGUUUGUCUGCCCGUCUCUUGGAAAUUCUCACCCUUUCCCUGACAGGGAAAAUGCACCAGCAGCUACAGCAAGGACUUUGGCAGCUUACCUCACCCUCUCACCAGCAGGGAGCACAAGUUCUCCCCCUUAGAGAACCUGAGGAAUUUUUUUUUAACUGUUGGUUUUGUGUGAAAAGGCUAUUCUUGAUGGGAAAUCCUGUAAAAACUGCUUUCUUGUCACACAAGAUAAUAAUGUGGCAACAGGAUUCUUGUACUGGUGCAAACGCUUGUGCUGGGAUGUGAGUUCCUGUCAUGUGGUUCUUGACCCUUCUUGGCAACAUGGAACUGGUGCUCACAGGACACAGGUCCCUGUGCCAGACACAAUGACACCAGUGAUGGCUUACAACCAGAGAUGCCUGAGAUGCUUCCAGGAGGACUCAUCUGGUAGGAAUAAGAGGAGCAGACCUGCACGGGCAGUAGAACAACAUUCACAUUCUGACAGAGGAUAUGGCCAUUAGUGAGAGCAUUUCAGUCUUCCUAUACCUAUACUUGGCUGGAGAAGCUGGAAGGGAUGAAGGCCAUGCACAGGCCAAAUUGGGUUGGAAAUGCCUAAUAUGGAGAUGAUUGUGGGAAGGCAGUCUCUCUGCUGGGUGAGGCUUGGGGGGGAUAAAAGCAGCCUAGGAGAAGCCUAGGCUGAGUACCUGAGGGAAGGUAUUAGCCUGCUGAUAGCCCCUGAUCUGGAGAUGUCUUUGUGGACAGGGUGCCAGUUGCAAGAACUGUGUUUGCUGCAUGCCAGAGGGAAAGUCUAGGGAAAGAUGAAAGUUGCUGGAAUGCAGAAAUACCAAACACACAAGGGCUGCGCCAUGUUUUGGUGCUGGGAGAGCUGGUGGGGAGGGUGAGCUGACUCCACCUGAGGAUGUUAGGGGUUUGUUCUGCAUUAUCGGACUGGAAUUGCUAUCUAUUAAACACCUGAGAGAGGGUUCCUCGUGGGGCUGCAAAGGAAAAUGCAGAUGGAGGCCAUAUGGUGUGACCCAGGUGUGGGAAUUGCACUGCACAGCUCUGCAAACAGAUGCCUCACAGGAGAGCUGCCGGGGAGUGAGAGUCUGCAAGCUCUUACUUUGAGACAAGGAGCAGUUUCCCAAAUGUGUCUAAGGUGUAGAGAUUCCUCCCCUUACUGGCUCAUCUGAGACCAGAAUGCUUAAAAUAAAUCAGAAAUCAAGCUUACUCAUAAAUCAAGUUUUAAAAAAAUCCAUAUUUAGACACCCAAAUAAGCUUUUAAGGAUGCCUCUUGGUUGGCAACCAGUUUUUCUGCAAACCAAACCACUUGUUUAAGUGGUUAGAGUGACUUUAACAACAAACCUUCAAGAACCACAUCUGAGAACCUUUGCCAGAAAGAAUUGGCUAUGAAUCCUGCCUCAUACACACAAAUGGCCUUUUGAAAGCAGAAGGCAGCUUUACUUCCCCAUUACUCUGUGAAGCCAACAUACUGUUUGACAUGCUGGAAGCCAGCUGGAUAAAUGAGAAAUAUUGCUAUGCAUUCUUAGAGAGUCUGUGCCUGAAUUAGCUAAACCAGAACAGCUCUCUUGCCUGUGCUGGCUAUGGAUAAGCAAAGAUUACUCUGCCUGUAGGGUUUCCCUGAGUAGCUGCACCAAGGCACCCACACAGAAAAGGGGAGACAGCGCUUUCAGAAAGGAUGAUUUCAAAUUAAAAACUGAAAAAUACAAAAGCAGCUGUUCUAUAGCAAUAACAUGAGGAAGGAAGAAGCUGUUUGAAUGUAUUUAGAGACAGAAAAAAACGGAUAAGCAGAGCAGUCUGCUCCAUUGCUGUAAAGUAAUUUUCUGUUUUCACGGAACUGAUGAUGUCAGGAGAUUGUUUCAAACAAAUAAGUAACAUAAUUGAAAGAUAAUGAAUAGAGAGCAUGUCGAUUUGUCCAGAAAAUAUAGGGAGUUAUUCUGCAGUAAUUCUACACACCCCCCUGCUUUUAGCAGAAUAAGCUUAAAAUUCAAGCCCCACAGAACAUUUGCUCCUGAGGAAUGAGUCCUCCUGGCUAAUCCCCAAGUGAUUUAAAUGCACAUAAAUAAAUACACUUAAGAUAAAUGACUGGACAAGAUCAUGUAAUUUGCCUCUGCAGUGAGAAUUACCCCUUUAGCUACAGCAGUGCUCAGCACAGCCCAUAUGCACCCACGUACCUGCUCCAAAGCAAAAUCCCAAAGGCGCUGGUCCCCUCCUUGCUCUGCUGCUUAUCCCAAGUGAAGCCACGUCUGGGAAGGUCCCGGUCAUACUGGGAACCACAGGGUAGCGCCAGCUCUCCAGCUGCCUCUGCCUGCCUGUUUGCAAAGCUUCCUGAGGGGAGGGACGGGGUAUUCCAUCCUUCUUCUUCAGCUGAGGAAAAAAUGACGUUUCGCAGGGGUGGCCGCUGCCCAACUCCUUUCUGUGUCAUGUGGGAUGCGGAUGCUGCGGCCGCCCCCCGGCAGGUCCCGGGGCUCCUCCCGCUCCGUCGGGGCAGCAGCACCACGGACAGCGCCGGGCGCGGCAGGGCGGCGGCACCGGGGGACACCGAGGGGACACCGAAGGGACGCCGGGGGACACCAGGGGGGCAGCGGGAGGCCCCCGAGGCGGGGCCGCCCCCGACCCGCGGCGGGGCCCGGCUGCCGGCGCUGACGUGCCGGUUGCCAUGGCGAGCGCGGCUGCUGAAGAGGAUGCUUUUCUCCCACGAUGGUCGCCAUGGGACCCCGCCGAUUGAAAGGAGCAAAUGAAUAAGAGGAAGGAGGUGGAGAGAAUAUUUAACUAGCUUCCUCCGGGAAUUUGUGCCUUUUUUUUUUUUUUUUUUUUUAAUUCCCAUGUGGAUACUGAAACUCAGACAGCCUGGUCCGUUUCCCUGCUUAGCCCCCAAUUCAAAAUUCGAGGAAAAAACCUUUUUUAUUUUGUGGGAAAUGGCACCAACACAAUUUCCUAAUGUGCUCUGUCACAUACACUUUAUUAAGCAAGUUGGAAUAAUAACAACCCAUCAAUCGUCUCUCACAAACAUUUUUCCUGCAGAAUUACAACAGCUCUAUAAAUUGUAUUACACUGCAAGUUUAAGGAAAGAAGAGAUCAUUUCAGUACUGGCAAACUUUCUGCCUGUGAACUAAGGAAGAAAUUUUUUUGAAGUAUGGAUUUCUAUUGUUUUGGGAUUUCUGACUUGAAAUGCAUUAGUAAACUGAACAAACAAAGGCUGGAUAUUUUCCUGUUUUCCCUCAUUUUUCAUUGGAGAACUCCACCCUCUAUCUGGGACAACACUUGCUCUGCUUCUGAUACAGAAACCUCAAAAAUCUGCUUUGAAACUGAGGGAGUCAUUUAAUCCCUGUGCUGGUAAUGGCAUCUCAACAGGUGACCAGAGGGGUGUUUGAGCAGCUGCUGGCAGUUCCACAGCCUGGACAGGGAGGCUGACUGAGCCUCAUCCUUCAGUGGAACUGCAUCAGUAAUCUUUAACAAGAAUUUGGAGAUGUGAAAGUGUUCACAGCACAGUAUAUGCAUACACAUGUACACGUUUAUCUGAGGAGAAUUUCCCCCAGUGCUGGCCUUGUCCUAUUCUACACCUCCAGCUCUUUCUCCCCUGAUGAAGUGGCAGGGUGAGAGGUCUUCCUGUGGCUGCUGCCUGCUUGGAGGGUGAGAUGAAGGUUUUGGAACCCCUCGGCAUGCUGGAUUCUGCAGACAUCAGUUGUGUGGCAGACUCAGCAGAGGGAGCCCGGCGUUCAGUUCUGGAGCUGAGGAGGGAGCAGACCUGAUGCAUCUCGGAAGGGAAGAUCGCCUUCCUUUCCCUAGCUCUCCAGCGGCCCGGAGCUCGCUGCCGGAGUGGGAAUGCUUCGGCAGGACCGCACGUUUCCCUGUUGAAGGAGAAACCUGUCCUCUAUGGGGUCCCAAACUGAGUUUUGGCACAGUCACCCUGCAAUUUGAGCUAAACUGGUUUGCCUGUUCCAAUAGGUGAAGAGCACAGCACUGCUGGAAACCCCUGAGGUGAAGGAGACCAAACUACUCUCUGGGUCCUGGAAAACAUGAAGAUGUUACCAACAAUUCCAGGAGGGAACAUUUCAAGGUGUUCCUGGUCAUCCACAGGGAAAAUAUCUGCAUGCCACUGAAAUGAAGCAACUCAAAACCAAACUCUGUGAAGAUAAUCCCAUCUUUUGAUUUUAUUUGGUAGAAAUGAAUGGGGAAAAAAAGAAAAAAGCUUCAACUCUGGGUUUUCAUGAUAACAGAGUGGGAACUUUCACCACCAUCCCAGUUUUGGACUGCAUUUGAUGCAGGCUUAUGGAGACAGGGGACAGUUAUUAGAGCUGCGUGAAUAAUCUACAGCAAGUAACUGAAUGGAAGUGUUUGGCCUUUUAUCUGUUUGCAAACUGUGAGCUUUCCUGGAUGUUCUUGAAUGUGUUUGUUGUUUGAGAUAAUACUGCCCAUAAUUUCUGUGAAUAAUUAUUUAUUUGUGGACUGCCUACAAGUAUUUAGAUAGUCAAAAUGUCAUUUUUGUUCCAUGGUUACAUGAGUGCAACCCUGAGACUUCCACCAAGAGUACUCACAGUCAGGAGUGGUAAAUUCACUUUCUGUAAAACCUUGUUGAAAUCUUCUCAGAAACUGUCUGUCUUGUCUGCUGCAGGGAAAAAAAAAAAGGAGGAAAAUGCAGUAAAAUAACAGGGGAGGUUGGUAGGGUGUUAAAAAACAUUUCCAGGAGACUCCCCUGUGUCUCUGCAGCCAUGGAGGUCUUUGGGGAUGCAGAGAUCCACUGCAGCCCAUGGAAGAGCCCACACUGGAGCAGGGUGAUGCUCAAAGGAGGCUGUGACCCCCUGGGAAAUCUGUGCUAGGACCUGCACAAUGGAGACAGGAGUCCACACUGGAGCAGGUUUGCUGGCAGGACUUGUGACCCUGUGAGGGAGCCAGACUGGAGCAACCUGUUCCUGAGAGACUGACCCUGUGGAAGAGUGAUUCUCAUGGCAGCAGUUUGUGCAGGGCUGUUGCCUGUGAGAUGGACCCACUGGAGGAGCUCAUGGAUUACUCUUUCCUGUGGCAGGGACCCCAUGGUGAAGCAGAGGAAGGACUCCUCUCCCUGAGCAGCAGCAGAAACACCCUGUGAUGGAUUGACUGGAACCCUAUUCCCUGUCUUCCUGCAGCACUCGGGGAGGAGGUAGAGCUGGGCAGGAGGAAGUGGUAGGGAGAAGGUAUUUUUAAGGUUUUAUUUUACUUCUCUACUGUCCUGCUCUGACCUUGUCAGGAGUAAAGUCAGUUAAUAUCUCCAAGUCUAUUUUGCCCAUGAUGUUAUUUGGUGAGUGACCUCUCCCUGCCCUUACCUCAACCCAGGAACCCUCAGUUAUAUUUCCUCUCCCCUGUUUGCCAUGUGUUCACGGGGCCAAGGCAGACACAGCAAAUAUUCCACCCACGUGCUCUGUAAGCCACCAGAGCUGGACAGCAAAGGGGUUUUAUAACCAUCUUGUCCUCCAAAAGAAUGGUGCAAACCCCAUGUCUGGAGUACUCUGAGCCCUGCCAUGUUGUGACUGCUUGUCCAGGAGCAUCCCAGACAGGUUUCUGACAGUCACCAAACUCUGAUAGCAGCUUGGAGAGGAGUUUCUUUGGCAGCAGUGCAGGCAGGACCAAUAAAACUUUGCAGGAACACCUCUUGUGUUUGUCUACAUGCACAGUUCAUCCGUUACCCUACCUGCUUGGAUGGUUUUGUGAUAAGGACACCUUGAGGGAUAAAUGGAACAGGGGUAUUAAGGAAAAAGUACUCAAUAAUAUAGAGCAACGUGCACCACAAAUGAAGAUGUAUUUUCAGGGGAAAAACAACAUUUUGAAAACUAAACAAGGCAUGAAUUCA
Molecule: long non-coding RNA, 9450 nt
Organism: Parus major (Great Tit)
Lineage: Eukaryota; Metazoa; Chordata; Aves; Passeriformes; Paridae
Exons: 7
Source: RefSeq, a predicted model, not a curated record